This 1360-nucleotide ribosomal RNA is filed under the name Salmonella enterica subsp. enterica. RNAcentral's name for it is "partial 23S ribosomal RNA". It matches the Rfam family "Bacterial large subunit ribosomal RNA", at positions 1292 to 2637 of the family's 2925-position model. The record is from RNAcentral. Lineage: Bacteria; Pseudomonadati; Pseudomonadota; Gammaproteobacteria; Enterobacterales; Enterobacteriaceae. RNAcentral also lists the same sequence under 1 other name.
GAAUGCUGACAUAAGUAACGAUAAAGCGGGUGAAAAGCCCGCUCGCCGGAAGACCAAGGGUUCCUGUCCAACGUUAAUCGGGGCAGGGUGAGUCGACCCCUAAGGCGAGGCCGAAAGGCGUAGUCGAUGGGAAACGGGUUAAUAUUCCCGUACUUGGUGUUACUGCGAAGGGGGGACGGAGAAGGCUAUGUUGGCCGGGCGACGGUUGUCCCGGUUUAAGCGUGUAGGCUGGUUUUCCAGGCAAAUCCGGAAAAUCAAGGCUGAGGCGUGACGACGAGGCACUACGGUGCUGAAGCAACAAAUGCCCUGCUUCCAGGAAAAGCCUCUAAGCAUCAGGUAACAUCAAAUCGUACCCCAAACCGACACAGGUGGUCAGGUAGAGAAUACCAAGGCGCUUGAGAGAACUCGGGUGAAGGAACUAGGCAAAAUGGUGCCGUAACUUCGGGAGAAGGCACGCUGACACGUAGGUGAAGUGAUUUACUCAUGGAGCUGAAGUCAGUCGAAGAUACCAGCUGGCUGCAACUGUUUAUUAAAAACACAGCACUGUGCAAACACGAAAGUGGACGUAUACGGUGUGACGCCUGCCCGGUGCCGGAAGGUUAAUUGAUGGGGUCAGCGCAAGCGAAGCUCCUGAUCGAAGCCCCGGUAAACGGCGGCCGUAACUAUAACGGUCCUAAGGUAGCGAAAUUCCUUGUCGGGUAAGUUCCGACCUGCACGAAUGGCGUAAUGAUGGCCAGGCUGUCUCCACCCGAGACUCAGUGAAAUUGAACUCGCUGUGAAGAUGCAGUGUACCCGCGGCAAGACGGAAAGACCCCGUGAACCUUUACUAUAGCUUGACACUGAACAUUGAGCCUUGAUGUGUAGGAUAGGUGGGAGGCUUUGAAGCGUGGACGCCAGUCUGCGUGGAGCCGGCCUUGAAAUACCACCCUUUAAUGUUUGAUGUUCUAACGUGGACCCGUAAUCCGGGUUGCGGACAGUGUCUGGUGGGUAGUUUGACUGGGGCGGUCUCCUCCUAAAGAGUAACGGAGGAGCACGAAGGUUGGCUAAUCCUGGUCGGACAUCAGGAGGUUAGUGCAAUGGCAUAAGCCAGCUUGACUGCGAGCGUGACGGCGCGAGCAGGUGCGAAAGCAGGUCAUAGUGAUCCGGUGGUUCUGAAUGGAAGGGCCAUCGCUCAACGGAUAAAAGGUACUCCGGGGAUAACAGGCUGAUACCGCCCAAGAGUUCAUAUCGACGGCGGUGUUUGGCACCUCGAUGUCGGCUCAUCACAUCCUGGGGCUGAAGUAGGUCCCAAGGGUAUGGCUGUUCGCCAUUUAAAGUGGUACGCGAGCUGGGUUUAGAACGUCGUGAGACAGUUCGGUCC